Molecule: long non-coding RNA, 802 nt
Organism: Carassius carassius (crucian carp)
Lineage: Eukaryota; Metazoa; Chordata; Actinopteri; Cypriniformes; Cyprinidae
Exons: 4
Source: RefSeq, a predicted model, not a curated record
ACAGUCUGCAUGAUUAUUUUCAUGGUCUUGACUUCUGUCAUCUAUUCCCAUCAAGAACGAAAGUUCUCAAUGCUGGAGAGCUGGAUGAAAAGCCAUACUUCUGAUCUAACCUCAGUCAAAUCUGAUUUUCAGAACACAGGAGGUGAUCUAAAAAAGAAGGUUGCUGAGCUGCAGAACUUAGUGUUCAGCCUGAGUUCAUAUUUGAACACGUCUGGAUCAAGUAACCCAGAGACCAGAGGUUGGUGCCUUGUCUUUGCCUUAUUGUUUUAUUUUUGGGAGAUUGAAUGAAUUGAUUGAUUGUAAUCUUUUUAUCAUAACCUGAUCUGAAAUUUCAACAGAACACUCUUCAAAUUGUCUCCAUGAAGAAUGUUGUAUCUAAAGUCUGUCUUGGCAUCUUUAAUGCACAGAAUAUUUUGACUCUGACAGAAAAGUCAACCUCAAUAGAGCAUGAUGGCUAACUAUCCCUUUCCUCUUUGACUUUUGACGCUGAAAAUAGUCUAAGACAUGAUAUCUGCAUAAAAAGCGUUGAUUAUUUCUUUAUUAUCUGUCUCUUUGACUCUAUAUGCAAAAGAAAUGCAAAUAAAGAAGCUGUCUAAUAUUGAGACCCUGAUGAGCGAUCUUGGCUCGUCACUGAGUUCACUCGCAUCCAAACAAGAAGAAAACCUACAAAAGCUGAAGCAUCAGCAGGAUGUGUCACACACUGAAGUCAAGAGUUUGAUGGACGGUUUGAGUUCAGCAGUAUCGACUCUUAGGAGUAAACUAACAGAGGACAGUCCAAGGUCUAUUUUACGCACACAACAUU